CAUGAGAGUGUUUAGCGCUCACCGGCGGGGGAGGCGCGCUCCUUGACCUCCUGGUCGAGGGAGGCGGAGGCCCUGAGGGAGGAGCGCGCGCUCCUCCUCCGGGACCUCCCCGCCGCGACGACGGAGACGCUCGAGGGGCGGCACCGGUUGGCCUGCGGCUGCGGCUUCGGCGCGAGGCGGCGCGCGGCGGUGGUGGUGGUGGCCGCCUGCAUCUGCAUGGCUGCGGAGGCGGAGGCGGAGGUGGGGGUGGGAGGGUGUGCCGCGGCGAGUGGGUGAGGGGUGGGGGUGGAGGUGAGUUUGUAGGGCGGGGGUGUGGCGGUGGGGGCUUGGGGGAUAACGGCCAUGGGUGCGGCUGUGCCGCUGCGAGGCCGGCCACGUCGGCCGCCGGC
RNAcentral lists this small RNA (389 nucleotides) under Oryza sativa Japonica Group (Japanese rice). Its description in RNAcentral is "sRNA Os02g0285775". Lineage: Eukaryota; Viridiplantae; Streptophyta; Magnoliopsida; Poales; Poaceae. The record is from RNAcentral.